GAUGAACGCUGGCGGCGUGCCUAAUACAUGCAAGUCGAGCGAACAGAUGAGAAGCUUGCUUCUCUGAUGUUAGCGGCGGACGGGUGAGUAACACGUGGGUAACCUACCUAUAAGACUGGAAUAACUCCGGGAAACCGGGGCUAAUACCGGAUAAUAUUUUGAACCGCAUGGUUCAAUAGUGAAAGACGGUUUCGGCUGUCACUUAUAGAUGGACCCGCGCCGUAUUAGCUAGUUGGUAAGGUAACGGCUUACCAAGGCGACGAUACGUAGCCGACCUGAGAGGGUGAUCGGCCACACUGGAACUGAGACUCGGUCCAGACUCCUACGGGAGGCAGCAGUAGGGAACCUUCCGCAAUGGGCGAAAGCCUGACGGAGCAACGCCGCGUGAGUGAUGAAGGUCUUCGGAUCGUAAAACUCUGUUGUUAGGGAAGAACAAAUUUGUUAGUUACUGAACAAGUCUUGACGGUACCUAACCAGAAAGCCACGGCUAACUACGUGCCAGCCGCCGCGGUAA
This 514-nucleotide ribosomal RNA is filed under the name uncultured bacterium. RNAcentral describes it as "partial 16S ribosomal RNA". It matches the Rfam family "Bacterial small subunit ribosomal RNA", at positions 28 to 523 of the family's 1533-position model. The record is from RNAcentral.